CCACGGCCAUGGCCAAGGUCUCUUGAGGCUUGGCCUUGAAGACUUUGGCCAUGUCCAUGG
Molecule: microRNA precursor, 60 nt
Filed under: Triticum aestivum (bread wheat)
Lineage: Eukaryota; Viridiplantae; Streptophyta; Magnoliopsida; Poales; Poaceae
Description: miR9653b stem-loop (tae-MIR9653b)
Source: miRBase by way of RNAcentral